AUUGAACGCUGGCGGCAUGCCUUACACAUGCAAGUCGAACGGUAACGGGUCCUUCGGGAUGCCGACGAGUGGCGAACGGGUGAGUAAUAUAUCGGAACGUGCCCAGUAGUGGGGGAUAACUGCUCGAAAGAGCAGCUAAUACCGCAUACGACCUGAGGGUGAAAGGGGGGGAUCGCAAGACCUCUCGCUAUUGGAGCGGCCGAUAUCAGAUUAGCUAGUUGGUGGGGUAAAGGCCUACCAAGGCAACGAUCUGUAGUUGGUCUGAGAGGACGACCAGCCACACUGGGACUGAGACACGGCGCAGACUCCUACGUGAGGAAGCAGUGGGGAAUUUUGGACGAUGGGCGCAAGCCUGAUCCAGCAAUGCCGCGUCCAGGAAGAAGGCCUUCGGGUUGUAAACUGCUUUUGUCAGGGAAGAAAUCUUCUGGGCUAAUACCCCGGGAGGAUGACGGUACCUGAAGAAUAAGCACCGGCUAACUACGUGCCAGCCGCCGCGGUAA
RNAcentral lists this ribosomal RNA (500 nucleotides) under uncultured bacterium. RNAcentral's name for it is "partial 16S ribosomal RNA". It matches the Rfam family "Bacterial small subunit ribosomal RNA", at positions 30 to 523 of the family's 1533-position model. The record is from RNAcentral.